This 70-nucleotide transfer RNA is filed under the name Australolacerta australis. RNAcentral describes it as "tRNA-Phe". It matches the Rfam family "tRNA". From Rfam's summary of the family: Transfer RNA (tRNA) molecules are approximately 80 nucleotides in length. Their secondary structure includes four short double-helical elements and three loops (D, anti-codon, and T loops). Further hydrogen bonds mediate the characteristic L-shaped molecular structure. tRNAs have two regions of fundamental functional importance: the anti-codon, which is responsible for specific mRNA codon recognition, and the 3' end, to which the tRNAs corresponding amino acid is attached (by aminoacyl-tRNA synthetases). tRNAs cope with the degeneracy of the genetic code in two manners: having more than one tRNA (with a specific anti-codon) for a particular amino acid; and 'wobble' base-pairing, i.e. permitting non-standard base-pairing at the 3rd anti-codon position. The record is from RNAcentral. Lineage: Eukaryota; Metazoa; Chordata; Lepidosauria; Squamata; Lacertidae.
GUCAAUGUAGCUUAUAACAUAAAGCACGGCACUGAAAAUGCCGAGACGAGAAAUAAAAUCUCCACGGACA